UACGUAGGGUGCGAGCGUUACUCGGAAUUACUGGGCGUAAAGCGUGCGCAGGCGGUUUUGUAAGCCAGGUGUGAAAUCCCCGGGCUCAACCUGGGAAUGGCAUUUGGGACUGCAAGGCUGGAGUGCGGCAGAGGAGACUGGAAUUCCUGGUGUAGCAGUGAAAUGCGUAGAUAUCAGGAGGAACACCGAUGGCGAAGGCAGGUCUCUGGGCUGACACUGACGCUCAUGCACGAAAGCAUGGGGAGCAAACAGG
This 253-nucleotide ribosomal RNA is filed under the name uncultured bacterium. RNAcentral's name for it is "partial 16S ribosomal RNA". It matches the Rfam family "Bacterial small subunit ribosomal RNA", at positions 524 to 776 of the family's 1533-position model. The record is from RNAcentral.